CCUACGGGGCGCAGCAGGUGCGAAAACUCCACAAUGCACGAAAGUGUGAUGGGGCUAUCCCGAGUGCUGUCCGCUGAGGACAGCUUUUCCAUGCUGUAAGAAGGCGUGGGAAUAAGGAGAGGGCAAGCCUGGUGUCAGCCGCCGCGGUAA
RNAcentral lists this ribosomal RNA (150 nucleotides) under uncultured archaeon. Its description in RNAcentral is "partial 16S ribosomal RNA". It matches the Rfam family "Archaeal small subunit ribosomal RNA", at positions 322 to 473 of the family's 1478-position model. The record is from RNAcentral.